RNAcentral lists this ribosomal RNA (253 nucleotides) under uncultured bacterium. RNAcentral's name for it is "partial 16S ribosomal RNA". It matches the Rfam family "Bacterial small subunit ribosomal RNA", at positions 524 to 776 of the family's 1533-position model. The record is from RNAcentral.
UACGGGGGGGGCAAGCGUUGUUCGGAAUUACUGGGCGUAAAGGGCUCGUAGGCGGCCAACUAAGUCAGACGUGAAAUCCCCAGGCUCAACCUGGGAACUGCGUCUGAUACUGGAUGGCUUGAAUCCGGGAGAGGGAUGCAGAAUUCCAGGUGUAGCGGUGGAAUGCGUAGAUAUCGGGAGGAACACCAGUGGCGAAGGCGGCUUCCUGGACCGGUUCUGACACUGAGGAGCGAAAGCGUGGGGAGCGAUCCGG